CGGAGUAAUGCGUGACCAACCUGCCCCAUGCUCCAGAAUAGCUCUUGGAAACUGGUGGUAAUGCUGGAUGCUCCAACUUGACGCAUGUCUUGUUGGGAAAGUGUUUAGUGGCAUGGGAUGGGGUCGCGUCCUAUCAGCUUGUAGGCGGGGUAAUGGCCCACCUAGGCUUCGACGGGUAGCCGGCCUGAGAGGGCGGACGGCCACAUUGGGACUGAGAUACGGCCCAGACUCCUACGGGAGGCAGCAGCC
Molecule: ribosomal RNA, 249 nt
Filed under: uncultured Gardnerella sp.
Lineage: Bacteria; Bacillati; Actinomycetota; Actinomycetes; Bifidobacteriales; Bifidobacteriaceae
Description: partial 16S ribosomal RNA
Rfam family: Bacterial small subunit ribosomal RNA
Source: RNAcentral